AAGUCGUAACAAGGUUUCCGUAGGUGAACCUGCGGAAGGAUCAUUACAGAGUUCAUGCCCUUCGGGGUAGAUCUCCCAACCUUAUCAUCACAAAGAGUUGCUUUGGCGAAUCGAGGCCUGCACGCCGGGGCCCCUCUGUAUUCGCCAGAGGAUCACAAAUUCUGAAUUAAUGUCGUCUGAGUACUAUAAAAUAGUUAAAA
Molecule: unclassified non-coding RNA, 200 nt
Filed under: plant metagenome
Description: partial contains small subunit ribosomal RNA and internal transcribed spacer 1
Rfam family: Eukaryotic small subunit ribosomal RNA (bases 1-46)
Source: RNAcentral